RNAcentral lists this ribosomal RNA (165 nucleotides) under uncultured bacterium. RNAcentral's name for it is "partial 16S rRNA". It matches the Rfam family "Bacterial small subunit ribosomal RNA", at positions 355 to 511 of the family's 1533-position model. The record is from RNAcentral.
UAGGGAAUCUUCCACAAUGGGCGCAAGCCUGAUGGAGCAACGCCGCGUGUGUGAUGAAGGGUUUCGGCUCGUAAAAACNCUGUUAUAAGAGAAGAACGGCACUGAGAGUAACUGUUCAGUGUGUGACGGUAUCUUACCAGAAAGGAACGGCUAAAUACGCGCCAG